GCAACUCUGAUUGGAAAAUCCCGAUAAGAGUGUAACUGCCUCUUAUAGAUCAAUACAUGAUAAGGGCAGUUCAUUGGCCGAAGCUGAAAAAGCUCUUCCUCAAUCUCCAUCUGAUCAAACAUAUUCUCUUUGUAGAAGUCCAGAUGACCACUAAUCUUCCAAAGAUCUGCCUUCGCUACAUGGGGAGUAUAGAGCAAAUCGUAGCCCCGCUCCAUAUGAAUCUUUUUCCAAGUAUCUUCUAUUAUGUGCCUAAUGAUAGCUCCCUUGGGAUGCCAGAAGACUAAGCCUCCACCAGCUUCAUCCUGUAUGGAGAAGAGAUCAAGAUCUUGGCCAAUUCUCCGGUGAUCACGCCGUUUAGCUUCUUCUUUGAAAUGAAGGUAUGCUUUUAAUUGGUCCUCAUUCUCCCAUGCAGUGCCAUAAAUCCUUUGGAGCAUUGGUUUCUUUACAU
Molecule: unclassified non-coding RNA, 448 nt
Filed under: Hevea brasiliensis (rubber tree)
Lineage: Eukaryota; Viridiplantae; Streptophyta; Magnoliopsida; Malpighiales; Euphorbiaceae
Source: RNAcentral